Molecule: long non-coding RNA, 419 nt
Filed under: Ananas comosus (pineapple)
Lineage: Eukaryota; Viridiplantae; Streptophyta; Magnoliopsida; Poales; Bromeliaceae
Description: long non-coding RNA (ACOM_LNC001577)
Source: RNAcentral
ACUAUUUUACAGGUAUUGCAGACGUUGAGUUUUGGGACGAGACGUGAGGUACGUUCGUAGCGGUCGAUAGAGCUUCCGACCCAGAUUAUCGGUUUAGUUUUAUCCCUACUAUUCUGUUGUUAUAGCUUAGUCAGUUUAUAUGGUUCAGUAUUUUUUAUUAUAUUGGAAUAUGUGGACUUUCAUGAAUGUAAUAAAAGAAUUUCUGGAUUUGGUAAAAUAAAAGGUUUUCUACCCCUCGUGGUAGCUUUUAUAAAAGAUAAAAGUUUUCGCGUAUGGAACAGUUUUUAAAAGGUUUUUCGUGGACUUUUGUUUAAACAUCGAAUGUAAAACUACGGUGUGAAUGGUAAAUGUAUGAAUGUAUAGCUAUCUGUAUAUUCAUUUAGUUGUGGUUGUAUACUGUUUGUACUUUUGUACUUGUG